Molecule: ribosomal RNA, 1199 nt
Filed under: uncultured fungus
Lineage: Eukaryota; Fungi
Description: eukaryotic LSU rRNA
Rfam family: Eukaryotic large subunit ribosomal RNA (bases 574-1199)
Source: RNAcentral
AAGUCGUAACAAGGUUUCCGUAGGUGAACCUGCGGAAGGAUCAUUACCGAGAAGUCUCGCGAAAGCGGACCCUCCAACCCUUUGUGUACCCCAAUUCUGUUGCUUUGGCGGGGCGCGGCCCCUGGCGUCCCUCGCUGGCCGAGGGUACCGCCACGCCCCUCCGGCCCCCGGGCUGGAGAGCACCCGCCAGAGACCCCAACAACUCUCACCAACGGUGCGGUCUGAAGCAAGCUUUACGCAACCAAAUCAAAACUUUCAACAACGGAUCUCUUGGUUCUGGCAUCGAUGAAGAACGCAGCGAAAUGCGAUAAAUAAUGUGAAUUGCAGAAUUCAGUGAAUCAUCGAGUUUUUGAACGCACAUUGCGCCCGCUGGUACUCCGGCGGGCACACCUGUUCGAGCGUCAUUUCAAACCUCAAGCCACGCUUGGUGUUGGGCGUCCGCCCCCGGCUGCGGGGCGCGCCUGGAACCCGUCGGCGGUGCGGUUGCACCCGGGUCGAGAGUAGCAAGCCCCCCAAAAGGCGUCUCUCGUGCCCGGUGCCCGCGCCCGCCGCUCCAACCACACUUCUCAAGUUUGACCUCGGAUCAGGUGGGGAUACCCGCUGAACUUAAGCAUAUCAAUAAGCGGAGGAAGAGAAACCAACAGGGAUUGCCCUAGUAACGGCGAGUGAAGCGGCAACAGCUCAAAUUUGAAAUCUGGCGCUUGCGUCCGAGUUGUAAUUUGUAGAGGGUGGCUCGGGUACGUCCCCGUCUAAGUCCCCUGGGACGGGGCGUCGUAGAGGGUGAGAAUCCCGUAUGCGACGGGGUGACGCGCCCGUGUGAGUCCCCUUCGACGAGUCGAGUUGUUUGGGAAUGCAGCUCUAAAUGGGAGGUAAAUUCCUUCUAAAGCUAAAUACUGGCCAGAGACCGAUAGCGCACAAGUAGAGUGAUCGAAAGAUGAAAAGCACUUUGGAAAGAGAGUUAAAAAGCACGUGAAAUUGUUGAAAGGGAAGCGCUCACGACCAGACUCGGGUGCGGCUGCUCAGCCUGUCUUCUGACUGGUGCAUCAGCCGUGCCCGGGCCAGCAUCGGUUCGGGCGGCCGGAUAAAGGCCUCGGGAACGUGGCUCCCCUCGGGGAGUGUUAUAGCCCGGGGUGCAAUGCGGCCUGCCCGGACCGAGGACCGCGUUCGCUAGGAUGCUGGCGUAAUGGUCGUUAGCGGCC